Molecule: ribosomal RNA, 301 nt
Filed under: uncultured bacterium
Lineage: Bacteria
Description: partial 16S ribosomal RNA
Rfam family: Bacterial small subunit ribosomal RNA
Source: RNAcentral
CAGCCGCCGCGGUAAUACGAAGGGGGCUAGCGUUGUUCGGAAUUACUGGGCGUAAAGGGCGCGUAGGCGGCCAUUCAAGUUAGAUGUGAAAGCCCUGGGCUCAACCUAGGAAUUGCAUUUGAUACUGUUUGGCUUGAGUUCGGGAGAGGUGAGUGGAAUUCCCAGUGUAGAGGUGAAAUUCGUAGAUAUUGGGAAGAACACCAGUGGCGAAGGCGGCUUACUGGCUCAUUCUAGACGCUGAGGUGCGAAAGCGUGGGGAGCGAACAGGAUUAGAUACCCCCGUAGUCCCUGUCUCUUAUAC